UAUAUACUCCCUACGUUUUAAAAUUCUUGUCUUAAGUUUGUCUAGAAAAUAAUGUAUCUAAAUACUAAAACGUGACUAGAUACAUUUAUAUCUAGAAACAUCUAAGACAAUAAUUUUGAGACGGAGAGAGUAUGUC
Molecule: non-coding RNA, 136 nt
Organism: Hordeum vulgare subsp. vulgare (domesticated barley)
Lineage: Eukaryota; Viridiplantae; Streptophyta; Magnoliopsida; Poales; Poaceae
Source: Rfam